RNAcentral lists this ribosomal RNA (261 nucleotides) under uncultured prokaryote. RNAcentral describes it as "partial 16S ribosomal RNA". It matches the Rfam family "Bacterial small subunit ribosomal RNA", at positions 524 to 784 of the family's 1533-position model. The record is from RNAcentral.
UACGGAGAAUCCGAGCGUUAUCCGGAUUUAUUGGGUUUAAAGGGUGCGUAGGUGGAUUGGUAAGUCAGUGGUGAAAGUUUGCAGCUUAACUGUAAAAUUGCCGUUGAAACUGCCGGUCUUGAGUGCAAAUGAGGUAGGCGGAAUGCGUCGUGUAGCGGUGAAAUGCAUAGAUAUUACACAGAACACCGAUUGCGAAGGCAGCUUACUAAUCCAUCAUUGACGCUGAGGCACGAAAGCGUGGGGAUCAAACAGGAUUAGAUA